Molecule: ribosomal RNA, 465 nt
Filed under: uncultured bacterium
Lineage: Bacteria
Description: partial 16S ribosomal RNA
Rfam family: Bacterial small subunit ribosomal RNA
Source: RNAcentral
GACGAACGCUGGCGGCGUGCUUAACACAUGCAAGUCGAACGGAAAGGCCCUGCUUGCAGGGUACUCGAGUGGCGAACGGGUGAGUAACAAGUGGGUGAUCUGCCCUGCACUUCGGGAUAAGCCUGGGCAACUGGGUCUAAUACCGGAUAGGAGCCAUUUUUAGUGUGAUGGUUGGAAAGUUUUUUGGGUGUAGGCUGAGCUUGCGGCCUAUCAGCUUGUUGGAGGGGUGAUGGCCUACCAACGCGGCGGCGCGUAGCCGGCCUGAGUGGGUGGACGGCGACAUUGAGACUGAGAGACGGCCCAGGCACCUACGGGAGGCAGCAGUGGGGAAUAUUGCAGAAUGAGCGCAGGCCUAGUGCUGCGACGCCGCGGGGGGGAUGACGGCCUUCGGGUUGUAGACUCCUUUCGCUAGGAACGAAGCUUUUUGUGACGGUACCUAGAUAGGAAGCACCGGCUAACUACGUG